This 4734-nucleotide long non-coding RNA is filed under the name Homo sapiens (human). RNAcentral's name for it is "HSALNT0196532". The record is from RNAcentral. Lineage: Eukaryota; Metazoa; Chordata; Mammalia; Primates; Hominidae.
GACAAACGAGAGAUACAAGAUCAUGGCAGUUCUCUCUUCUUCCACCGGACAUUGCUGUGUCUGCCUAAAAUGUCGAAUUGGCAACAGCCAUUUUGUAACCACGGGACACAGAGCAAAGUCCGCAGAGCAGAAAGGUGGAAGGAUCCUGGAUUCCUGGUGAGGUUGAAGCACUCAAAAGGUGGGUCUUGGUCCCCUCCGCUUGAACCCGGAUGGACUUUUGUGAUGACCUCAACCACUGGGUGUGGUGGAAGUGGCUGCAUGAGUUCUGAGGCUUGGUCAUUAAAAGUGAUAUGGCCGGGCGCGGUGGCUCACACCUGUAAUCCCAGUACUUUGGGAGGCCGAGGUGGGCAGAUCACUUGAGGUUAGGAGUUCGAGAUCAGCCUGGCCAACAGAGUGAAACUUUGUCUCUAAUAAAAAUACAAAAAUUAGCCAGAUGUGGUGGCACACGCCUGUAAUCCCAGCUACCUCAGAGGCUGAGGCAGGAGAAUCGCUUGGGCUGGGAGGCGGAGGUUGCAGUGAGCCGAGAUUGCACCACUGCUCUCCAGCCUGGGCGACAGAGUGAGUGAGACUCUGUCUCAAAAAAAAAAAAAGUGAUAUGGCCUCUCCUUGGAUCUCUCUUGGGACACACUCAGGGGACCCCCUCAUGAACUGCAGGAAAGACGUCUGGCUUUCCUGAAGCCACCAUGCUGAAAUGAACACACAAGCAGGAGAGCGACGCCCGAGGAGGACCAGCUGUUUGAGUCUGCCCAGCCCAGGUGUCAGACUGUAAAUGAAGACGGCAGCCAGAUGACACUGCCAGCCACCAGCCCCUCUGACUGCACCCUCCAAGAGAUCCAGAGCUCAAACCGCCCUGGGGAGCCACUCCCGAGAUCUUACCCCCAGAAACCAUGAGGUAGAGAAUGAUUCUUGUUGCUUUAAUCCUCCAAGUUUGGGGGGUGAUUUGUUGUGUAGUCAGAGAUAACGAAUACGCCACCUUCAUUCUGAGCAUUCAUCAUAUGAAGUAAUACGUCUUCCUUAUUGCUUAAGCCAGAGGUCGGUGAAAAUUUUCUGUAAAGGGCAGACAUUAAAUAUAAUUUUAGGCUUUCCAGAUCACAUGGUCUCUAUUGCAAUGACUCAGCUUGCCGUUGUUGCAUGAAAGCAGCCAUCGGCAAUAGAAAUGGGUGGGCGUAACUGCAUUCCUAUAGACCUUCAUUAACAAAAACAAGGAGCCAGACCAUAAGCAGCAGUUUGUUGACCCCUGGUUAAAGCCAUUUUUGAGUUAAGUUUUCUGUUACUUGCAGCCCAAAACAUACUGUUACAACUAUCCAAUCAGAGAGCUCCAGGCAAAGGGCAACCACAAGAGGCUCUAGGGUGUGUGCAUAGUUCUCUGGGGUGUGUGCCUGGGCUCUGGGGUGUGUGCAUAGUUCUCUGGGGUGUGUGCCUGGGCUCUGAGGUGUGUGUGAGCUCUGAGGUGUGUGCAUAGUUCUCGGGGGUGUGUGCAUCGUUCUCUGGGGUGUGUUCUUGGGCUCUGGGGUGUAUGCCUGGGCUCUGGAGUGUGUGCACAGGUCUGAAAAUGUGUGUAGAAGUCAGGAUGUGUACACAGGUCUGAGUGUGUUGUGUGGGCUCUAUGGUGUGUGCCAAGAUCUGGGGUGUGCAUGGGUUCUGGGGGUGUAUGUGUGAGCCCUAGCAUUAUGCGAAUGGGCUCUGGGAUGUAUGCACAGGUCUGAGUGUGUGCAUGAGCACACAGGUCUGAGUGUAUGUGUGAGAGCUCUGGGGGUGUGUGCAUGAGCUCUGGGGGUAUGUACAGGUCGGGAUGGGUGUGUAUGAGCUCUGGGGGGGUGUGCACAGGUCUGGGUGUGUGUGUUUCUGUGUGUGUGUGAGCUCUGGAAGUGUGUGCAUAGGCUCUGGGGUGUAUGCAUAAGCACACAGGUCUGGGUGUGGGUGUGUGAGCUCUCGGGGUAUGGGCACGGGUUCUGGGGAUGCAUGCCUGAGCCCUGAGCGGGCCCCACUCACCCACCAUCUUAUCUACUGAGACAAGAAGGGCUGGGCUGUUCGUUCAUGAAGUCUCCUGGGCAUCUCUUAUCAUGUGAUCCCCAGCCUCUGCGUCCUCCUCCUCCUCACAGGCUCCAGGAUCUCUGGAAUCCAACUCACUGGACGCCCAGCCAGUCAGGCAGGCAGGGAGUGUGGAGGCCUCCCCUCAAGUAAGGACCUAAUGGCUAAAGCUGGGCAUGGGACAGGCCUGUGCAAAGAGAGGAGAGGGAGGAAGGACCAGGGUGUGCUGGAAGCGUAUCCUCCCUCUCCCCGGCCUCUCUCCUCCCACCUCAGAUGGGCCUGGAGGAGAUUAGCUUCACUCACGGCAGUAAUUGUUUGCUGAGUGCUUGCUGUGUUUUAAGCUCAGCAUUUACAAGCAGGUGACAUGGAGAACUCUAGGUGCUGGACAUGCUGUUAGCCCCAUUUCAUGGACGAGGGAAUGGGCGAACAGAGAGGGAAGUCACUGUCCUGGGGACCCACAAUAGGAGGCAGGAUGCCCACCCAGGCUGGCUGUCCCCACGCCAAGAUCUAGGAUGAGUCCUCAGUCAAAGCCAGAGCAGACCCAACGGAACCGCUCAGCCCCCUGACAAGGCAAUGAGUCUCGCCGGCCAGGGGGGCUCUGCCCCCGCCCCCACCCAGGUGGGUCCCCUGCCCCCAGGCUGGCAAGGUGCUGGGGGGCUGAUGCCGGAGCCCCUGCUGCUUGCCGCCUGCCUGCUCAUCUUGUUUGUUCCAAUUAUGUCAAUGGCCAGUGAUGUUCCAGCAGGUGGCUGGGUCCUGCUGUGAGGACAACAUGGAGCAGAGCCCAGGCUUACCUACAAUGGACAUGCAGUGGCGGCCUCCCUCCCGCAUACCACAGCCUUCCUGCAAUGCUGCGACUCGGGUUCAUUCCAGGGGAUCCUUGAGCGCUGGCGGCACAGAGGGGCCAACCUUGAACUCAGCAAAGAGGAAUGCUUGACUCCUCUCCAGCUGGAAGGCUGUACCUGGGCUAAGAACUGAUGAGCCUGCUUGAAGGAAACACUCCGUGCUUUUGUUAAAGGGGAAGGGAAAAUAAAAUCCCAAAUCAACCUUGGAUCAAUGUCUCUUCCCCAGACGGCAGCCCAAGGCCUCUGCGGCCUCUGCAUCAGUCAGCUGGGAAAGCGGCACAGCCCCUGGGACUGUGGCUGGGCCAGCCAGCCUCCACCCAGACAGAGCCCGCAGCAGGCCGUUGAUUCACCGUUCCCCAGCAAAAGCGUCAUCCUGAGUCCCAUGGAAGAGACUGGUUAAUCUCUUACUGUGUAAUUAAUCUCUUACUGUGUACCAGGCACAUGCAUACAUCCCAUAACGCAUUCAGCCUCACACCAUCUACUUUACAAAGCACAUAGCACUACUGUCUUCAUCUGGCAGUUAGCAAACCUGUGGCCCAGAGGGGUGGACCAAUUUACUCAUAGCCACAUAGCUGUCAGGAGCUGAGAUACAAGCCCAGGCGUGGUGGAUCCAAAGCCUCUUGUCCUGGCUGGGCAUAAUGGCUCACACCUGUAAUCUCAGCACUUUGAGAGCCUGAGGCAGGAGGAUUGCUUAAGGCCUGGAAUGUAAUAUCAGCCUGGGCAACAUAGCAAGACCCUGUCUUUAUAGAAAAAAUUUUAAAAAUUGGCCAGGCAUGGUGGUGUGCCUGUGGGCCUGGCUACUUGAGAGGCCGAGGCGGGAGGACUGCUGGAGUCCAGGAGUCUGAGGCUGCAGGGAGCUGUGACUGCGCCAGUGCACUCCAGCCAGGGUGAAAGAGUGAUGCCCUAUCUCAAGAAAAAAAAAAAAAGCUCUUGUCCCAAACCCUAUAUCACCAGGUCCGUAGAAGCAGGAGUGUAUUGAAUCCAUUAGGGAGGCACUUGGCUACAAGUAACAAAAACCUUGGCUCACAGUGGCUUAAAGCAUAAGGUCAUUCAUUGUUUAUUUCGGAGGACAUUGAGAAGCAGGCAUAGCCCAGGUGGGUUCACUAGUUCCUCAGUGUCAGGAUACAGGGCUGGCAUCUCUGCAAUUCUCUUAGCCUUCUCCUCAUGGUGGCACCAUGGCUGCCACAGCUGCAGACAUCACUUCAUCCCACAAUGACAUCCAAAGGCAGGAAGGAAGGUGAGGUGGGAAGGAGGCAAAAGGGACCAAACCUCUCUUCCUGUAACCUUCUCAUUUUCUAGUGAGACCUUUUUCCCAGGAGCCGCCAGCAUACUUCCCUCACGUUUCUGGCCAGAAGUGGAUCACAGGCCUUCCCCGGAUUACUCAGGCCCAGAGGGUGCAAUGUGGUCCCCACUACAUGGUAGACAGGAUUUGAACUAAACAACAGUUCGCUGGAGUGGAAAAUAAAGGAUGCUACAUUUUCUUAUUGUGAUAAAAAAUAUAUAUCAUAAAAUUUACCAUUUUAACAAUUUGUAAGUAUACAGGUUGGUAGCAUUAAGGACAGUCACAUUGUUGUGCAACCACUACCAUCCAUUUCCAGAAUUUUUUCAUCUUCCCAAACUGAAACUCUGUCUCCAUUAAACACCAACUCUCCACCUGGCUCCUGCCAGCCCCUGGCUCCCACCAUUCUACUUUCUGUAUCUGUGGAUUUGACUAUUCUAAGGUUGGACUAGUCCAACCUGUACAUAAAUUGAAUCAUACAGUAUUUGUCCCUUUGUGGCUGGCUUAUUUCACUCAGCACAGUGUCCUCAAGGCUCAUCCAUGUUGUGGCCCGUGUCAGAAUAUCCUUCCUUUUUCAAGGCU